RNAcentral lists this ribosomal RNA (450 nucleotides) under Triticum aestivum (bread wheat). Its description in RNAcentral is "partial small subunit ribosomal RNA". Lineage: Eukaryota; Viridiplantae; Streptophyta; Magnoliopsida; Poales; Poaceae. The record is from RNAcentral.
AUGCCUUUCGGUUUAUGCAAUGCACCUACUACCUUUCAAAGAUGUAUGACUACUAUAUUCUCUGACUUUUGUGAAAAGAUUGUUGAAGUUUUCACGGAUGAUUUCUCUGUUUAUGGGAAGUAUUUUGAUGAUUGUUUAAGCAAUCUUGAUCGAGUUUUGCAGAGAUGUGAACAAACAAAUCUUGUCUUGAAUUGGGAAAAGUGCCACUUUAUGGUUAAUGAAGGUAUUGUCUUGAGUCAUAAAAUUUCUGAAAGAGGUAUUGAAGUGGACAAAGCUAAGGUUGAUGCAUUUGAGAAAAUGCCAUGUCCUAAAGAUAUCAAAGGUAUUCAUAGUUUCCUAGGUCAUGCAGGUUUCUACAGGAGAUUUAUCAAAGACUUUUCUAAAAUUUCUAGGCCUCUUACAAAUCUUCUACAAAAGUACAUUCCAUUUGUUUUUAUGAUGAUUGUUUAG